RNAcentral lists this ribosomal RNA (253 nucleotides) under uncultured bacterium. RNAcentral's name for it is "partial 16S ribosomal RNA". It matches the Rfam family "Bacterial small subunit ribosomal RNA", at positions 524 to 776 of the family's 1533-position model. The record is from RNAcentral.
GACGGAGGAUGCAAGCGUUAUCCGGAAUGAUUGGGCGUAAAGCGUCCGCAGGUGGCAGUUCAAGUCUGCUGUCAAAGACCGGGGCUUAACUUCGGAAAGGCAGUGGAAACUGAACAGCUAGAGUAUGGUAGGGGCAGCGGGAAUUCCUGGUGUAGCGGUGAAAUGCGUAGAGAUCGGGAAGAACAUCGGUGGCGAAAGCGCUCUACUGGACCGCAACUGACACUCAGGGACGAAAGCUAGGGGAGCGAAUGGG